AUUUAUUUUCGACCUGAGAUUAGGCAAGACUACCCGCCGAAUUUAAGCAUAUCAAUAAGCGGAGGA
Molecule: ribosomal RNA, 66 nt
Filed under: Oncaea mediterranea
Lineage: Eukaryota; Metazoa; Arthropoda; Copepoda; Poecilostomatoida; Oncaeidae
Also listed under: 1 other name
Description: partial 28S ribosomal RNA
Rfam family: Eukaryotic large subunit ribosomal RNA (bases 10-66)
Source: RNAcentral